GUGCCAGCAGCCGCGGUAAUACGGAGGGUCCGAGCGUUAUCCGGAAUCAUUGGGUUUAAAGGGUCCGCAGGCGGUCAAUUAAGUCAGAGGUGAAAUCCCAUAGCUCAACUAUGGAACUGCCUUUGAUACUGGUUGACUUGAGUCAUAUGGAAGUAGAUAGAAUGUGUAGUGUAGCGGUGAAAUGCAUAGAUAUUACACAGAAUACCGAUUGCGAAGGCAGUCUACUACGUAUGUACUGACGCUGAGGGACGAAAGCGUGGGGAGCGAACAGGAUUAGAUACCCUGGUAGUCCACGCCGUAAACGAUGGAUACUAGUUGUUGGGCAUUAGCUCAGUGACUAAGCGAAAGUGAUAAGUAUCCCACCUGGGGAGUACGGUCGCAAGACUGAAACUCAAAGGAAUUGACGGGGGCCCGCACAAGCGGUGGAGCAUGUGGUUUAAUUCGAUGAUACGCGAGGAACCUUACCAGGGCUUAAAUGUAGUCUGACAGCUUUAGAGAUAGAGUUUUCUUCGGACAGAUUACAAGGUGCUGCAUGGUUGUCGUCAGCUCGUGCCGUGAGGUGUCAGGUUAAGUCCUAUAACGAGCGCAACCCCUGUCAUUAGUUGCCAGCAUGUAAAGAUGGGGACUCUAAUGAGACUGCCUACGCAAGUAGUGAGGAAGGUGGGGAUGACGUCAAAUCAUCACGGCCCUUACGUCCUGGCCACACACGUGCUACAAUGGUAUGGACAAU
RNAcentral lists this ribosomal RNA (730 nucleotides) under uncultured bacterium. RNAcentral's name for it is "SSU rRNA". It matches the Rfam family "Bacterial small subunit ribosomal RNA", at positions 505 to 1243 of the family's 1533-position model. The record is from RNAcentral.